Molecule: long non-coding RNA, 759 nt
Organism: Protopterus annectens (West African lungfish)
Lineage: Eukaryota; Metazoa; Chordata; Ceratodontiformes; Protopteridae
Exons: 3
Source: RefSeq, a predicted model, not a curated record
CAAAGGCCACACACAAACAAACUGGCAGAGAUCUUACAGCUGGCAGCUAAUGCGCAUUCCAGUUUUACUGUAUUUAAAGCAUCAUGCCCCACAAAACUGACACCAGCAAAACUGAGCGUCAAACUGCGAAUUAGCUGAAAUACGAAAGCAAUGGCAACCACUGGUCAAGUGGAUUAUUCACGUCUGGUAAUGCCAGCUUUGAUACUGACUUGCUGGAUUUUGGGUUGUGUAGUUGCGGUUUAUAUUGUCUUCUCCUGAAACAAAAAGAAGAUUUAUGCAAGGAAGAUAAUGCACCAAAGCCAUUGCCAGUCAAGAACUUCUAUUCCUUCUUUCCUUCCUGCAAUUUUCUGUGCAAUGUUGUUCUUCUUUCGGCUUUUCCUGGUUAGGGAUCGCCACAGUGGAACUCCGGUCCAUUAAUGAUUGGCAGUAGAUUUUUUAUGGGUGCCAAAGUGCCAGCUCGACGCCCAACCUUCAAUGAAGGCAUGCAAUUUUUUGUGCAAUCUUGUAGCAAAAUAAUUUACAAAAAAGAUGCCUACAUUCAGUUAAUUAAAAUGUUAGACUAGGUAGUAUUUGAAUAAAAAGUGUGCCUCCUGUGCAAUGUACUCUAAAACUGUCAGUAAAGUCAUUUGUAUUUUUGAAGCUAUGUCAUACAAUAGUUAUUAGGCAUGUUAUUGGAUGUUAAGUAGAAUUAUGGUAUAAAUAAAUUAAUUGUAAUAGAAACUGCUUUUUAAUUUAAUAAAAAAUGACUAAAGUUUAAAA